This 214-nucleotide non-coding RNA is filed under the name alpha proteobacterium BAL199. The record is from RNAcentral. Lineage: Bacteria; Pseudomonadati; Pseudomonadota; Alphaproteobacteria.
GAUAAGCGACAGGUCGACGGUUCCCCAAUCAGGGGAUUCAAAGGGAACGUGGAGCGCGCGCCCGAAGAGGCACGCGAAGCCACGGCUGCCCCCGCAACUGUAAGCGGCGAGCGACGGGUAACAAAGCCACUGUUCCGAAUCCGAUUCGGGGCGGGAAGGCAGCCCGGAGCCGAGACCCGCGAGCCAGGAGACCUGCCGUCGACCGUCGCCCGUU